UACGUAGGAGGCGAGCGUUGUCCGGAAUUACUGGGUGUAAAGCGCGUGUAGGCGGUGAGUUAAGUCUGUUGUGAAAGCGCCCGGCUUAACCGGGCAGAGUCAAUGGAAACUAGCGCACUGGAGGUCGGUAGAGGCGAGUGGAAUUCCCGGUGUAGUGGUGAAAUGCGUAGAGAUCGGGAGGAACACCAGUGGCGAAGGCGGCUCGCUGGGCCGGACCUGACGCUGAGACGCGAAGGCGUGGGGAGCGAACGGG
Molecule: ribosomal RNA, 253 nt
Filed under: uncultured bacterium
Lineage: Bacteria
Description: partial 16S ribosomal RNA
Rfam family: Bacterial small subunit ribosomal RNA
Source: RNAcentral